UGGAAGUAAAAGUCGUAACAAGGUUUCCGUAGGUGAACCUGCGGAAGGAUCAUUACUGUGAUUUACUACUACACUGCGUGAGCGGAACGAAAACAACAACACCUAAAAUGUGGAAUAUAGCAUAUAGUCGACAAGAGAAAUCUACGAAAAACAAACAAAACUUUCAACAACGGAUCUCUUGGUUCUCGCAUCGAUGAAGAGCGCAGCGAAAUGCGAUACCUAGUGUGAAUUGCAGCCAUCGUGAAUCAUCGAGUUCUUGAACGCACAUUGCGCCCCUCGGCAUUCCGGGGGGCAUGCCUGUUUGAGCGUCGUUUCCAUCUUGCGCGUGCGCAGAGUUGGGGGAGCGGAGCGGACGACGUGUAAAGAGCGUCGGAGCUGCGACUCGCCUGAAAGGGAGCGAAGCUGGCCGAGCGAACUAGACUUUUUUUCAGGGACGCUUGGCGGCCGAGAGCGAGUGUUGCGAGACAACAAAAAGCUCGACCUCAAAUCAGGUAGGAAUACCCGCUGAACUUAAGCAUAUCAAUAAGCGGAGGA
This 534-nucleotide unclassified non-coding RNA is filed under the name Pichia kudriavzevii. Its description in RNAcentral is "sequence contains 18S rRNA gene, ITS1, 5.8S rRNA gene, ITS2, 28S rRNA gene". The stretch from base 159 to 311 matches the Rfam family "5.8S ribosomal RNA". Lineage: Eukaryota; Fungi; Ascomycota; Pichiomycetes; Pichiales; Pichiaceae. The record is from RNAcentral.